GAUGAACGCUGGCGGUGUGCCUAAUACAUGCAAGUCGAACGGGCUCUUCGGAGCUAGUGGCGGACGGGUGAGUAACACGUUGGUACCUACCCCUAAGUGGGGAAUAACUGCCCGAAAGGGUGGCUAAUACCGCAUAAUCCCGCAAGGGUAAAGCAGUAAUGCGCUUAGGGAGGGGCCUGCGUCUGAUUAGCUAGUUGGUAGUGUAAUGGACUACCAAGGCGACGAUCAGUAGCUGGAUCGAGAGGUUGACCAGCCACACUGGGACUGAGAUACGGCCCAGACUCCUACGGGAGGCAGCAGUAAGGAAUCUUCCACAAUGGACGAAAGUCUGAUGGAGCAACACCGCGUGCAGGAUGACGGUCUUCGGAUUGU
RNAcentral lists this ribosomal RNA (372 nucleotides) under uncultured bacterium. Its description in RNAcentral is "bacterial SSU rRNA". It matches the Rfam family "Bacterial small subunit ribosomal RNA", at positions 28 to 426 of the family's 1533-position model. The record is from RNAcentral.